Meriones unguiculatus (Mongolian gerbil) is the source of this 3345-nucleotide long non-coding RNA. RefSeq lists it as uncharacterized. The record is from RefSeq and is a predicted model, not a curated record. NCBI's taxonomy places the organism in Eukaryota, Metazoa, Chordata, Mammalia, Rodentia, Muridae. The transcript is spliced from 3 exons.
GGGAGCGCGCCUUAACCCUUCGCUGACCCUUGCGUCGGGGACACACGCGGCCCGAGCGGUGGCCAGGGACCCACAGGUGGGCGGCAGGGACCCCGGCGGCGCCGCCAGGCUCGGGGGGAAGCGCACCGAGGCCUCCCGCACGCCCGACCGCCCGUGCCGCCGCCACCUGCGCCGCCGCUUCCGCCCGGGGGGGCGCGGCUCUGCCUCCGACUUCCGGUUCGCGCGCCCCGGCCGCGCAGACAGUUUCACGUAGCCCAGACUGGCCUCAGACUCAAUUUAUAGUUGAGGAUGACCUUUGAACUCCAAUUCCGGUGCAAGGAUUAUGCCCAAGAAAGUUCCUAAUCAUCAUUUUGAACCUGGCUACCUCGAGCACACUUCCAGUGGAGAACAUUCUUGGCUGCACAUCUACCUCACCAGCACAAAGUGUCUUCUUGUGUUCAUGGAAUGUUUCCUUGUGUACUUUCAGUUUGUUAGCUCACAGUCCUUCGUACAGCUCUGUUUUGCUUUUUAACAUACAAUAAAGUUGAUCUUUAUUUGGUUUACAUAUCUGUCAACGUUAAGAAUAGAUUUACCUGAAGAAUAGAUUUGUGUAGUGGCUACCACAGGCAGGUAGUUCCAUCACCCCUCAAAAGGCUACCUAGUAGUGUCCCUUUGCGGUCACAACCUUGUUCCAUCCUUACUCUCUGCAGCCACUGAGAUGUUAAUAUUUAUAUGCAAGUUUGUGUGAGAGCAUAGUUUUUACAUCACUAGGGUAGAUAAAGUGAGAUUUCUAGGACCAUAUGGUAGUUGUAUGUUAAAACUAAAUUAGAAGCUACCAAACCUUUUGUUUGGUUUUUGAGACAGAGUCUCCAUAUAACCGUGGCUAUCUUAGAACUGACAGAUAAUCUACCUGCCUUGACCUCCCAGGUGUAGGGAUUAAAGGUGUGUACCACCAUGCUCAGCGCUACCAAGCCAUCAGACAAAGUGGAUUUUACAAGUUUGCAUCUCUAGUAGGUAUAUAUGGAGUUUCCAGUUGCCUUACAGCCUCAGUACUUGUUGCUGUUUUUACAUUAAUUUUUCUAAUAGGUAGUAUACAGUGAUAUCCCAGCAUGCAUCUGGUUUGGUUUGGAUGAGGAAAAGGCCUCACUGUAGCCCAGACUGGUCUAGAAUUCACUAAAGCAACCCCCCAUUGGACUCGGACUCAAGGCAUGUCCCCUGCCUCAGACUUCCAAGUGUUAAGUUUCCAGGUUUGAGCCACCAUGAGUACUUCUUUCGUGAUGGUUUGAUUCACAUUUCUGUAAUAGCAAUGUUCCAUCUGCUUAGCUGCCACCUGUGUAGUCUGUGCAUAUCUUUAGCCUAUUUUUAACUGGGUCAUCAUUUUCUUUCUAUUGAGAUGUGAGGUUUGCCCCUUUUUUAAAUUCUAGAUACAGUUCCUUUAUCAGACAUUCAAUUUGCAAAUAUUCCAUCAAGCCUGCACGUUUUCAUCCUUUUAACAAAGUAUCUAUCACUGGGGGAAGGACGGGGGCUAACUUUAGAGAAGUCUGAUUUAUCAGCUUUAUCUCGUGGGUCAUGCUUUUGGUGACAGCUGAGUACCCUCUAACCCAAGUCAUUAAGAUUUUGUUUUUGCCAGGCCUGGUGACACUGCUCUGUAGUCCAGCUAAUAAAAGAGGCUAAGCAAGGAGGAUCAAAAGAUUCAAGGCCUGCCUGGGUAACUGAGCAAGACUUUCUUCCAAAAGUUGUGUAAUUUUAAAUUAUGUUACUAACAAAUGCUUGUAAUUGUUCUUUGUUAUUGCUGUUUUAAAUACCUGAUUAAUUAUAACACCCUGGCCUCCUAUAAUCUUUCCUAUUUUAGACAUUAUGUUCAACUAUUCAAACACAGGAAACAUUUUUUAAUUUUUAAGAAUUGUUAUAGUGUGUGUGUGUUUAACUGAGUGUCAGAGAGAGAUUGAUUGGUUCUGGUGUAUGUGGUCAUCAAAGGUACAACUUGAAGGGCUGAACUCAGAUUGUCAAAUCUUGCCAGCCCACUUAAAAUCUCUGAAAGUCUGUCCCUGGGGUUUUUAUUGCUGUGAAGAGACACCAUGACCAUGGCAGCUCUUCUGAAGGAAAACAUUUAAUUGGGGCCAUCUUAACAGUUUCAGAGGUUUUGUUCAUUAUAUUCAGGCAGAAAACAUGGCGGCAUGCAGGCAUACUGGAGAAGGAGCUGAGAGUUCUACAUCCAGAUCACAAGCAGUGAGGGAACCAACCAGAGCGUCUUGAGACCUCAAAGCCCGCCCCCACAGUGUCACACUUCCUCCAGUAAGGCCACACCUACUCCAACAAGGACACACCUCCUAAUAGUGCCACUGUUUGGGUUGAGCAUUAACACAAGAGUCUAUGGGGGCCAUUCCUAUUCAAACCGCCACGAUCGGCCCUCUUUUUUUAUUCUUUUUCUGUUGUUUGUUUUUGGUGCUAGGGAUUGAACCCAGAGCCUCCUGUGUCUUUAGCCCCUGAGGAAUCUUUCUGUCAUUCACCUUCAGUCUGUAUGUGUCUUUGGGUCUAAAGUAAGCACCUUAUAAGUGGCAUGUAGUUGAGUUAUAGUUUUUCUUACUUAUUUUGCUGAUCUGUCUCUGACUGAGACUUUACUCCCUUGCAUUUUAAAAUGUCAGUAGUAAGGGGAGACUUUAUUCUGCCAUCUUAGUGUUUUCUCUUUCCUCCCCUGUUUGCUUCUCGUGCUGGGGUGUUAACCAGCACAUGCUGGGCUGCUGUACACUGAGCUGCAGCCCAGCCCUCACUGUGUUUUCUGGAUGCCUAGGAACUAUCAUCUCCUGCAUCACUAGAGAAGUUACCCCCUUGUCUGUAAGAGAUGCCUUCUAAGGUUCCCGGUGUUGGGUGGGCGAGAUGGCUUAGCACGUAAAAGUGCUCGCCACCAAGUCUCAAGACUUGAGUUCAUUCCCCAGAAUCCAAGGUGUUCUCUGACCCCCACAUGCUUUCCAGUGCCCUCUUCUGGCCUCUACAGACACUUCACACACUUGAUACACAGACAUAUGCGGGUGGGACAACCACACGCAUAAAAUUAGAGACUUACGUUGAAGUUCCUUUUUAUGUUUUGUUUUGUCUGUGAUUGUCCAAUCCUAGCACUGUUGAAAAGACUUCAGUUUCUCUAUGUAAUUGGCUUCAUUAUCUCUCUUCAAAUCAGAAGCAACAUUUGAAUCAUCGAUACCAGCCACUAGCAAUGAUGGCAGCUUUAGAAUCAUUUUGUCUACCCUGGAAAAAAGUCCUACUUGGAAAUCCGGGGUGGAGUGUCUGCUUACGGACUUACUUACUUCUCUGUUGCUGUGAUAAAAUACCAUGACAAAAAAAAAAAAAAAAAAAAGCAACCUACAAAAA